CAUACAUCAUUUUUACAUUCUCUGCUGGAUUCCUUUUCCAGUUCUCGAACAACUGCUGAGUCAUUCUUCUGUUUGGAUUUAUGAAUUCGUCUUCAUCAUCCCCAAUUUUAUCUCCCAAAGCCGACUAUAGGAUGAUGCUAAUGAUCGCCCAUAGAGCAUCUUUCCAGAGCUCUUUUAUUUCUUCUAACGUAGGAUCCAUUUCCCAAUCCAGUCAAAUAGUAGAGAUGCAUAGUUGAGUUGAAUGCCACAGCAUAUGGCUGUCAUGAGCUUGAGUUGUACUUCAUUACAGAAUCAUGGUCAGAGCUCUUGCAGCAUAUUCAUUUCCCAAUAAUAUCUGCCAAGAAUUCAUACCUCUAAGGGAAUUCUUUCUUCUUGUAUCCUUUGACAGUGGGUAACUUCUUGUGGUGCAUUCUCUUAAGCCCUUCGUGAAAAUCGAUGCCCUCUAUGGAAGAAAACCCUUUUGAUUUGAAACCUAGGGCUAGAUUUAUCUCCUCAGACUUGAGCUUGAUUUCCACGUCCCUGACCCUCGUACUGAUGAUGUCAUUCUCGAAUACACCAUUUUUAUAGAAUUCUUUAUCAGCUUAGGGUAGAUACACGUUCUCGUACCCAGAGCCUCUUCAAGGCCAGCUUUCUUUAUCAGAGACAGAGUUUUGAGAAAUUUGGGAUCAGCUGUCUUGAACUCAUCAAAACAGAAUCUGUAACCAGAGAUGAAAUUUGAGGCUGCCAUUGAUUUCUUUGCACUGAGUAUGAUUGUUUGAGCUUUUCGGAAAGUUAGGGUUUCUGCUUGUAAAGAGAAAGACAAAGAGAGAGAGAGAGAGAUGAGGUUUUUGAACUUCUGAUUUCAAAAAGGUGUUUUCAAACUGUACUUAUAACUUCCCUCUCUCUAUUUUCUUAGUGGGGCAUGUGUCAAAUUCUGCUUCGCCCUACGAGUUUGACUGAUGAGGAAUGUACUAAUUUGCCCUUAGCUCCUUCUGAGCUAAUGUGUCCUUUGGGAGGACUACGAUCGUUGAGGUAGUCCUUAUGAUCAUUAAGUAUGCACUGCGAUUGUCGAGUCCGUUCUGCAAUCAUCGAGUCUACUCUGCAUUCAUUGAGUCUGUUCUGCAUUCGUCGAGUCUCAUUUGCAUUCGUCGAGUCUGUACUAAGAUUAUUGAAUUUUCCCGUGUCCUUGUGAUGAACUUUUGAC
Molecule: long non-coding RNA, 1183 nt
Filed under: Panax ginseng (ginseng)
Lineage: Eukaryota; Viridiplantae; Streptophyta; Magnoliopsida; Apiales; Araliaceae
Description: long non-coding RNA (PGIN_LNC005252)
Source: RNAcentral